UACGGAAGGUGCGAGCGUUAAUCGGAAUUACUGGGCGUAAAGCGCACGUAGGCGGUUUUUUAAGUCGGAUGUGAAAGCCCCGGGCUCAACCUGGGAACUGCAUCCGGUACUGAAAGGCUAGAGUACGGUAGAGGGGGGUGGAAUUCCAGGUGUAGCGGUGAAAUGCGUAGAGAUCUGGAGGAACACCGGUGGCGAAGGCGGCUCACUGGCCCGAUACUGACGCUGAGGCACGAAAGCGUGGGGAGCAAACAGG
Molecule: ribosomal RNA, 253 nt
Filed under: uncultured bacterium
Lineage: Bacteria
Description: partial 16S ribosomal RNA
Rfam family: Bacterial small subunit ribosomal RNA
Source: RNAcentral